AAGACCUUGCGCUUUUGGAGCGGCCGAUGCCUGAUUAGCUUGUUGGUAAGGUAAAAGCUUACCAAGGCUUCGAUCAGUAGCUGGUCUGAGAGGACGACCAGCCACACUGGGACUGAGACACGGCCCAGACUCCUACGGGAGGCAGCAGUGGGGAAUUUUGGACAAUGGGGGCAACCCUGAUCCAGCCAUGCCGCGUGAGUGAAGAAGGCCUCCGGGUUGUAAAGCUCUUUCAGCCGGAACGAAACGGUUACGGUUAAUACCUGUGAUUACUGACGGUACCGGAAGAAGAAGCACCGGCUAACUACGUGCCAGCAGCCGCGGUAAUACGUAGGGUGCGAGCGUUAAUCGGAAUUACUGGGCGUAAAGCGUGCGCAGGUGGUUUUGUAAGUCAGAUGUGAAAGCCCCGGGCUCAACCUGGGAACU
Molecule: ribosomal RNA, 423 nt
Filed under: uncultured bacterium
Lineage: Bacteria
Description: bacterial SSU rRNA
Rfam family: Bacterial small subunit ribosomal RNA
Source: RNAcentral